UUUGGUAAAGCUGAAAAUGUGAUGUGCAUUUCUUUUGGCUUAUAAAUAUGCAUCACCAUUGCCUUAAUUCACAAGUUUGGCAUCCCAAAAUUCCUCCCAGAAAAAUAUUCUCCAAACUUCAAAAAAUUUCAGAUAUGAAAUUCCCUUAGAUCUUAGCAUUCUUCAAAACAAAAACCAAAAAUAAUAUAAAACUGCCGAACAUCAAAGAAAAGUUACUGUUUGAUUGGAAUUCUUUGUGAAUUUUAUCUUCGAGUUAUUGAUCUACAUUUUUAGUUUGGUUUAUGAUCAUUCAAAGUUUUGGGGGGGGUGUUGUUGAUUGAUUCCGAGGGAAUUUUUGGUUCAAGCAGGAUUGUUUUAGGCUAUGUCUACCAUUUGGCAAUUUAAAAAAUGGUUCCAGUCCAUUUUUGAGUUGGUCUGGGUGGUUUCGAAUAAUCUUGGUCUGAUAUUGAGUUCAUUUGGUGGUCUUUAGGAUUUUUCGAUUGCGUACUUCAGUGGUCUAUUGCUAUUGCUCCAUUUCGAAACAUUUAUGGGUUGAUCUGAAGUUGGAAUCAGUGUGUUUGAAUUGAAAUUGGUUUCUUUGAGGCCACUGAAAAGGCCUUGGGUCAUUUGGGAAUUUAGUUGAUGCUUUCAGGGGAUAUUGAUUGAUUUUUUGAUUUUUUCUGAUUUCUAAAAUCCUCCCGGAUCAUCAUAAAUAUUUCUGGGCUGUUAUUUGGUUGCUUCUCACUUUGUUGCUGACUUCUUCUUCUUGUUGAAUUUCUGCACCCAGGUACACUUUGCUGAUUGUUUCAUGUAGCUCCUCAAUUGAAGUGAAACAGAAAUUUCCCUCAACUCUAUUAUAGAUGAUUGCGUGAUAUUGCGUCUAAUGUAGUUUAGUUUGUUUACUUGCUAGGUGUUGUAAUUAUAUAGACUUAAAUUGAGUCAUUGGACUCAAUUCAUAAACUGUGGUAUUGUUUAUGUGGUCUUCUAAUCUUUAUGGUGUUGUUCAAUCCUGUUGGUUUAACAUUUGAAGUUAUUUGGCUUGGUUGGCAGUGGUAUAGCCAUAUAUGUAAUUGUAUUGAUCUAAUGGCGUUAGGUUUUUAGUAAUAAAGGAGGAUGGUUUGUUUUUAUCAGCGCAUCAUGUUUAUAAUUGCAAGGAUUUGUGUGGGUUUGAUUUGAAAACAAUUGCCCCGUUUGUAUUUGUGAAUCAAGUUCCAAUUGCAUUCUUACAUGUU
This 1211-nucleotide long non-coding RNA is filed under the name Nicotiana benthamiana. RNAcentral describes it as "long non-coding RNA (NBEN_LNC036971)". Lineage: Eukaryota; Viridiplantae; Streptophyta; Magnoliopsida; Solanales; Solanaceae. The record is from RNAcentral.